Molecule: ribosomal RNA, 750 nt
Filed under: uncultured Lachnospiraceae bacterium
Lineage: Bacteria; Bacillati; Bacillota; Clostridia; Lachnospirales; Lachnospiraceae
Description: bacterial SSU rRNA
Rfam family: Bacterial small subunit ribosomal RNA
Source: RNAcentral
GAUGAACGCUGGCGGCGUGCCUAACACAUGCAAGUCGAACGGAGAUUAUUGACGGAAGUUUUCGGAUGGAAGACGGUAAUCUUAGUGGCGGACGGGUGAGUAACGCGUGGGUAACCUGCCUCGUACAGGGGGAUAGCGUCGGGAAACUGACGGUAAGACCGCAUAGGACCACAUAUUCGCAUGGAUAAGUGGUGAAAAGGGAAACCUGGUAUGGGAUGGAUCCGCGUCCGAUUAGCCAGUUGGCAGGGUAAAGGCCUACCAAAGCUUCGAUCGGUAGCCGGACUGAGAGGUCGGACGGCCACAUUGGGACUGAGACACGGCCCAGACUCCUACGGGAGGCAGCAGUGGGGGAUAUUGCACAAUGGAGGAAACUCUGAUGCAGCGACGCCGCGUGAGUGAAGAAGUGCUCCGGCAUGUAAAGCUCUUUCAGCAGGGAAGAUGAUGACGGUACCUGAAUAAGAAGCCCCGGCUAACUACGUGCCAGCAGCCGCGGUAAUACGUAGGGGGCAAGCGUUAUCCGGAUUUACUGGGUGUAAAGGGAGCGCAGGCGGUCUGGCAAGUUGAGAGUGGAAGCAGGGGGCUCAACCCCCUGACUGCUCCCAAAACUGUUGGACUGGAGUAUGGGAGAGGCAGGCGGAAUUCCUAGUGUAGCGGUGAAAUGCUCAGAUAUUAGGAAGAACACCGGUGGCGAAGGCGGCCUGCUGGACCAAAACUGACGCUGAGGCUCGAGAGCGUGGGGGAGCGAACAGG